Molecule: ribosomal RNA, 349 nt
Filed under: Klebsiella michiganensis
Lineage: Bacteria; Pseudomonadati; Pseudomonadota; Gammaproteobacteria; Enterobacterales; Enterobacteriaceae
Also listed under: 2 other names
Description: partial 23S ribosomal RNA
Rfam family: Bacterial large subunit ribosomal RNA
Source: RNAcentral
GGUUAAGCGACUAAGCGUACACGGUGGAUGCCCUGGCAGUCAGAGGCGAUGAAGGACGUGCUAAUCUGCGAAAAGCGUCGGUAAGGUGAUAUGAACCGUUACAGCCGGCGAUGUCCGAAUGGGGAAACCCAGUGCAAUUCGUUGCACUAUCGUUUGAUGAAUACAUAGUCAAACGAGGCGAACCGGGGGAACUGAAACAUCUAAGUACCCCGAGGAAAAGAAAUCAACCGAGAUUCCCCCAGUAGCGGCGAGCGAACGGGGAGCAGCCCGGAGUCUGAAUCAGCUUGUGUGUUAGUGGAAGCGUCUGGAAAGUCGCAGGGUACAGGGUGAUACUCCCGUACACUAAAAC